RNAcentral lists this ribosomal RNA (499 nucleotides) under uncultured bacterium. Its description in RNAcentral is "partial 16S ribosomal RNA". It matches the Rfam family "Bacterial small subunit ribosomal RNA", at positions 28 to 507 of the family's 1533-position model. The record is from RNAcentral.
GACGAACGCUGGCGGCGUGCCUAAUACAUGCAAGUCGAGCGAAGUUUUUCUGGUGCUUGCACUAGAAACACUUAGCGGCGAACGGGUGAGUAACACGUAAAGAACCUGCCUCAUAGACUGGGACAACUAUUGGAAACGAUAGCUAAUACCGGAUAACAGUAUUUCUCGCAUGAGAGAUAUUUAAAAGUUGGUUAUGCUAACACUAUGAGAUGGCUUUGCGGUGCAUUAGCUAGUUGGUGGGGUAAAGGCCCACCAAGGCGACGAUGCAUAGCCGACCUGAGAGGGUGAUCGGCCACACUGGGACUGAGACACGGCCCAGACUCCUACGGGAGGCAGCAGUAGGGAAUCUUCCGCAAUGGGCGAAAGCCCGACGGAGCAACGCCGCGUGAGUGAAGAAGGAUUUCGGUUCGUAAAGCUCUGUUGUUAGGGAAGAAUGGAUAUGUAGUAACUAUACAUGUAAGAGACGGUACCUAAACAGAAAGCCACGGCUAACUACGUG